Molecule: transfer RNA, 73 nt
Filed under: Glossobalanus marginatus
Lineage: Eukaryota; Metazoa; Hemichordata; Enteropneusta; Ptychoderidae
Description: tRNA-Ile
Rfam family: tRNA
About the family: Transfer RNA (tRNA) molecules are approximately 80 nucleotides in length.
Source: RNAcentral
GAGUUUGUUCCUAAGAGCUAAAGGACUCUGGCCGAUAACCAGACAUUUAGGGGUUAAACUCCCCUCAAACUCC